UUAUUAUAUAUAAACAAAUAUUUUUACUUUAUUUUACUUGCAGAUCAAUGGAGAGUUUUUCAGAUCCCUUAAAGGUAUUUUACGUAUUCUGGUGCCUGGACUGUGGACUGCUGAAUCAGGCUUCUUGGGUCUGGUAGCUGCAACACUUAUUAUUCGUAGCAUGUGCGACAUAUGGAUGAUACAUAAUGGUACACUUAUUGAAAGUUCAAUCAUCUCCAAGGAUUUGGGCCACUUCCUUAGACACCUGGUUGAGCUUGUUCUUGCUAUGCCAGCUGUAAGUAUUGUACAAAUCCAUUUCUACUUUUACCAGAAAGACAGUUACAUAUACCCAGAAUACAGUUCAGUUUACA
Homarus americanus (American lobster) is the source of this 350-nucleotide long non-coding RNA. RefSeq lists it as uncharacterized. The transcript is spliced from 2 exons. The record is from RefSeq and is a predicted model, not a curated record. NCBI's taxonomy places the organism in Eukaryota, Metazoa, Arthropoda, Malacostraca, Decapoda, Nephropidae.